GUGGGGAAUAUUAGGCAAUGGGGGAAACCCUGACCUAGCAACGCCGCGUGAAGGAUGAAGGUCUUCGGAUUGUAAACUUCUUUGGCCCGGGACGAUAAUGACGGUACCGGGAGAACAAGCCACGGCUAACUACGUGCCAGCAGCCGCGGUAAUACGUAGGUGGCAAGCGUUGUCCGGAUUUACUGGGUGUAAAGGGCGAGUAGGCGGGGAUGCAAGUCAGAUGUGAAAUACCGAGGCUUAACUUCGGAGCUGCAUUUGAAACUGCAUUUCUUGAGUGAUGGAGAGGCAGGCGGAAUUCCCGGUGUAGCGGUGAAAUGCAUAGAGAUCGGGAGGAACACCAGUGGCGAAGGCGGCCUGCUGGACAUUAACUGACGCUGAGGCGCGAAAGUGUGGGGAGCAAACAGGAUUAGAAACCCGUGUAGUCC
Molecule: ribosomal RNA, 425 nt
Filed under: uncultured bacterium
Lineage: Bacteria
Description: partial 16S ribosomal RNA
Rfam family: Bacterial small subunit ribosomal RNA
Source: RNAcentral